GAUUUGGGUAGGGCAGAGGGGCUCGCCCUCCCUCCACAUACGAAAUGGGCGUAAGCGUAUGCCAGUAACCCCCUAAAUACGGAAGAUAUGAGAAGACAAACAGCUUCUCCCUUAACAUGCAGCCUAGGGCUGAGGGGUGUAUGGGGCCAAUUUAUCCAUCCGUAGGGAUGGAUAAAUUGGCUUACGGGAGGGACCGGGUCAGGCCCGGGAGGGAGCAGCCCAACUCCCGACCAUACACGUUCUCAGUCUAAUGGCAAAGACUUAAAGGGAGAAGACUUUGUCUUCUCAUAUCUUCCGUAUUUAGGGGGGGCCAUAGC
This 317-nucleotide signal recognition particle RNA is filed under the name Candidatus Marsarchaeota G1 archaeon OSP_B. RNAcentral's name for it is "signal recognition particle sRNA". It matches the Rfam family "Archaeal signal recognition particle RNA". RNAcentral also lists the same sequence under 1 other name. Lineage: Archaea; Thermoproteati; Thermoproteota. The record is from RNAcentral.